RNAcentral lists this ribosomal RNA (492 nucleotides) under uncultured bacterium. RNAcentral describes it as "partial 16S ribosomal RNA". It matches the Rfam family "Bacterial small subunit ribosomal RNA", at positions 29 to 507 of the family's 1533-position model. The record is from RNAcentral.
AUUGAACGCUGGCGGCAUGCUUUACACAUGCAAGUCGAACGGUAACAGGCCUUCGGGUGCUGACGAGUGGCGAACGGGUGAGUAAUGCAUCGGAACGUACCCAGAGGUGGGGGAUAACGCAGCGAAAGCUGUACUAAUACCGCAUGUGAUCUGAGGAUGAAAGCGGGGGACCGAGCAGCAAUGUUUGGCCUCGCGCCUUCGGAGCGGCCGAUGUCGGAUUAGCUAGUUGGUGGGGUAAAGGCCUACCAAGGCGACGAUCCGUAGCUGGUCUGAGAGGACGACCAGCCACACUGGGACUGAGACACGGCCCAGACUCCUACGGGAGGCAGCAGUGGGGAAUUUUGGACAAUGGGCGCAAGCCUGAUCCAGCAAUGCCGCGUGCGGGAAGAAGGCCUUCGGGUUGUAAACCGCUUUUGGCAGGAACGAAACGGUGUCCGCUAAUACCGGGCGCUAAUGACGGUACCUGCAGAAUAAGCACCGGCUAACUACGUG